Molecule: transfer RNA, 59 nt
Filed under: Corallococcus exiguus
Lineage: Bacteria; Pseudomonadati; Myxococcota; Myxococcia; Myxococcales; Myxococcaceae
Description: tRNA-OTHER
Source: RNAcentral
AGAGAGGCGAAGGAAAGAACUGGCCUCCGGAGCCAAAGGCCGCAGGUUCGAAUCCUGCA